UUCGAUAUAAUGAAAUUUACGCUCUUUAGUGUUGUUCAAAAAAUUCUAACCACAUUAUACAUUUGUAUUAAUAUAUUCUAAGCUCUCUUUCAUUGUACUUCAGUAUCGCCACUAAUUUUUAACAGUUAAUUUGUUAAAAAUUCAUAUAUUGCCUAAAUUAGUGGACUAACCACUAUGAAAUCUCUAUCUCUAUUGAAAUAGACACAAAAAAAAUUUCAAGCCUAUUUGGCCAUCAUUCUAUGUCAGUGUAAUAAAACAAAUAUCAUAUUUUUGAAUUUUUCUCAAAAAUCUGAAGAUUAACCCCUACGAAAUUGAGUUUUUCAGUAAGUGCUCUCUAUAUUGAAGUUUACACUCUUUAGUGUUGAUAAAAAAAUUUUAACCACAUUCUACAUUUUUUAUAAAUAUAUUCUAAACUCUCUUUCAUAUUACAUAGACUUCUCUUUAUUUAUUUUCAAGAAUUAAUUUAUUAAAAUUUUAUAUACUGCUUAUAUCAAUGGACAAACCACUAUAAAAUAUAUAUUCUCUAUAGAAAUGAGCACAAUAGAGAUAUCAAACCUCUUUAACCAUCAUACUAUGUUGCACUUAUGCAAUAAAACAAAACUUUCAUAUUUUUUGAAUUUUUCUCAAAAUCUAAAGGUUACCCCCU
RNAcentral lists this long non-coding RNA (646 nucleotides) under Brassica napus (rape). RNAcentral's name for it is "long non-coding RNA (BNAP_LNC014781)". The record is from RNAcentral. Lineage: Eukaryota; Viridiplantae; Streptophyta; Magnoliopsida; Brassicales; Brassicaceae.